Molecule: transfer RNA, 68 nt
Filed under: Gymnura poecilura (longtail butterfly ray)
Lineage: Eukaryota; Metazoa; Chordata; Chondrichthyes; Myliobatiformes; Gymnuridae
Description: tRNA-Gly
Rfam family: tRNA
About the family: Transfer RNA (tRNA) molecules are approximately 80 nucleotides in length.
Source: RNAcentral
ACUUUUCUAGUAUAAAACGUACAAAUGACUUCCAAUUAUUAAAUCUUGGUUAAACCCAAGGAAAAGUA